RNAcentral lists this ribosomal RNA (468 nucleotides) under uncultured bacterium. RNAcentral's name for it is "partial 16S ribosomal RNA". It matches the Rfam family "Bacterial small subunit ribosomal RNA", at positions 28 to 507 of the family's 1533-position model. The record is from RNAcentral.
GACGAACGCUGGCGGCGUGCUUAACACAUGCAAGUCGAACGGAAAGGCCCUGCUUUUGUGGGGUGCUCGAGUGGCGAACGGGUGAGUAACACGUGAGUAACCUGCCCUUGACUUUGGGAUAACUUCAGGAAACUGGGGCUAAUACCGGAUAGGAGCUCCUGCUGCAUGGUGGGGGUUGGAAAGUGUCGGCGGUUGGGGAUGGACUCGCGGCUUAUCAGCUUGUUGGUGGGGUAGUGGCUUACCAAGGCUUUGACGGGUAGCCGGCCUGAGAGGGUGACCGGCCACAUUGGGACUGAGAUACGGCCCAGACGCCUACGGGCGGCAGCAGUGGGGAAUAUUGCACAAUGGGCGGACGCCUGAUACAGCAACGCCGCGUGCGGGAUGACGGCCUUCGAGUUGAAAACAGCUUUCGCCUGAGACAAAGCGUGAGUGACGGUAAUGGGUAAAGAAGCAACGGCUAACUACGUG